Molecule: ribosomal RNA, 200 nt
Filed under: uncultured bacterium
Lineage: Bacteria
Description: partial 16S ribosomal RNA
Rfam family: Bacterial small subunit ribosomal RNA
Source: RNAcentral
UACGUAGGGCGCGAGCGUUGUCCGGAUUUAUUGGGCGUAAAGAGCUCGUAGGCGGCUUGUUGCGUCGACUGUGAAAACCUGCGGCUCAACCGUGUGGUCUGCAGUCGAUACGGGCAGACUAGAGUGCGGUAGGGGAGACUGGAAUUCCUGGUGUAGUGGUGGAAUGCGUAGAUAUCGGGAGGAACACCAGUGGCGAAAGG